Molecule: non-coding RNA, 189 nt
Filed under: uncultured Ruminococcus sp.
Lineage: Bacteria; Bacillati; Bacillota; Clostridia; Eubacteriales; Oscillospiraceae
Source: RNAcentral
CACCGUGAUGUGAAAUCUGAAGGAAGCCGGAUUGAGGGAUGAAAAGUUGCUGAUGGGCAAAAUUCCGGACCGACGGACAGAAAUCACAUAUAAGGCCGUAAUAGGCGGACGACUCUGCAAGACAAGAAGAAGUCCAAUACUACCCGAACCUAUUGCAGUAGAUACGGCGGUUACGGAAGGAAGGUUAUC